AGGCCCCGAGGCGGAUCGGGUAUUGAGUCCAUGGAGCGAGCUGAGAGCUAGAGUACAGAACCUGCUAAGGCCAUCAAACCUAUCGAUCGGAAGUCAGUCCAUCAGAUUUGCUCUGGGCCGGUGGUACUGAGUCUAAGCACUGCGGUGAAGGAGUUAGUAGAAAACAGUCUGGAUGCUGGUGCCACCAAUAUUGCGAUGUCACCAUUUCUACCUGCCACGCAUCGGCGAAGGUUGGGACUCGACUGGUGUUUGAUCACGAUGGGAAAAUCAUCCAGAAAACCCCCUACCCCCACCCCAGAGGGACCACAGUCAGCGUGAAGCAGUUAUUUUCUACACUACCUGUGCACCAUAAGGAAUUUCAAAGGAAUAUUAAGAAGACGUGCCUGUUUCCCCUUCGCCUUCUGCCGUGAUUGUCAGUUUCCUGAGGCCUCCCCAGCCAUGCUUCCUGUACAGCCUGCAGAACUGUACCAUAAAAGUGACCUUCAAAGAUGAGGCUGAAGCAAUUUAUAGUCUCACCAGGUGUAUGAGAGUACUUACUUCUUCACUAAUUUUUUAUCUAUAUUUAAGAGCUGUGUGGAUUUCAUUAAAGGAUUUGUUUCUUUUCCUUAUUUUUCUAUUUUCUUAUUUUCUAUUGGCUUAUAGGUCUUUAUUUAAUGAUUGGCAGUAGUAUUUUCAGUAUGUUUAGGACAUUUUAGUACCAACUUUAAACAUUUUUUAAAAGUGUACCAACUUUAUUCACUUUAUUAACUUUAAUUUCUUUUAAAAUUGUAUUUAAAAAGUCUUUUUUUUUUUCAGAAUUAUUCAAUCUCAAAACACACCAUUAUGUAAGUGGGAAAAAUUCAAGGAAAGAAUAGGAGGCUGGAUAAAUAUUUUAUAAAGUCUAAAGGCAAAGAACAAGGUGAUAUGGUUUGGCUGGGUCCCCACCCAAAUCUCAUCUUGAAUUCCCACAUGUUGUGGGGGGACCUGGUAGGAGGUAACUGAAUCAUGGGGCAAGUGUUUCCCAUGCUGUUCUCAUGAUAGUGAAUAAGUCUCACGAGAGCUGAUGGCUUCAAAAAGUGGGGUUCCCCUGCACAAGUUCUCUCAUUUUUUUUGCCUGCCACCAUCCAUGUAAGAUGUGACUUGCUCCUCCUUGCCUUCCAUCAUGAUUGCGAGGCUUCUCCAGCCAUGUGGAACUGUAAGUCCCAUUAAACCUCUUUGUUUUGUGAA
Homo sapiens (human) is the source of this 1206-nucleotide long non-coding RNA. Ensembl annotates it as PMS1 homolog 2, mismatch repair system component pseudogene 4. Its record names the gene PMS2P4. The record is from Ensembl. Lineage: Eukaryota; Metazoa; Chordata; Mammalia; Primates; Hominidae.